AAAUGCGGAAGAGAUAAGUGCUGAAAGCAUCUAAGCACGAAACUUGCCCCGAGAUGAGUUCUCCCUGACUCCUUGAGAGUCCUGAAGGAACGUUGAAGACGACGACGUUGAUAGGCCGGGUGUGUAAGCGCAGCGAUGCGUUGAGCUAACCGGUACUAAUGAACCGUGAGGCUUAACCUUACAACGCCGAAGGUGUUU
Molecule: ribosomal RNA, 198 nt
Filed under: Escherichia coli
Lineage: Bacteria; Pseudomonadati; Pseudomonadota; Gammaproteobacteria; Enterobacterales; Enterobacteriaceae
Description: partial 23S ribosomal RNA
Rfam family: Bacterial large subunit ribosomal RNA
Source: RNAcentral